Molecule: long non-coding RNA, 486 nt
Filed under: Homo sapiens (human)
Lineage: Eukaryota; Metazoa; Chordata; Mammalia; Primates; Hominidae
Description: HSALNT0409200
Source: RNAcentral
GUUGUCUUCCCACCUCAGACUCCCAAGUAGCUGGGACCACAGGAGGAAAUCUCUUCACUGCUGGCACUGACAAUGGAAGACUGAGGGUGCCCGGGAUCCUUCACCCCCACAUCCAGUGAGUCCACGGAACCCAGGGUAACUGGGAUGGUAUCUGAUGAUAGCAAAUUGGAGUCAGUGUUAGCAAGACUCUCCCACUUGGAAAGACAAAAUAGUGUAUAGUCAUUCACACUGUGAACUCUAUUUCCAAGAAGAAAUGCAGAAACUUAACAGGAAAACGGAAAUCCACCAAUUCUCUGAAAGAAGCUGCAUGCUGCAGCCUACAUUGUAAGAUUGCUGUUGAAUAUCUUUAAUAUAUCAAAACCUGCAAGGUGCUAGACAUACAAGAAAAAAUCCAAAUCUGUUGUUCUCCUUGUCUUGGAGCUGACCCUUUCCAGCAGAUGAUAUCACCUCUAAGAGAUGGGAGUCUCACUGUUUUGCCCAAGCUGG